This 484-nucleotide ribosomal RNA is filed under the name uncultured bacterium. Its description in RNAcentral is "partial 16S ribosomal RNA". It matches the Rfam family "Bacterial small subunit ribosomal RNA", at positions 30 to 507 of the family's 1533-position model. The record is from RNAcentral.
AUUGAACGCUGGCGGCAGGCCUAACACAUGCAAGUCGAGCGGAUGAAGGGAGCUUGCUCCUGGAUUCAGCGGCGGACGGGUGAGUAAUGCCUAGGAAUCUGCCUGGUAGUGGGGGAUAACGUCCGGAAACGGGCGCUAAUACCGCAUACGUCCUGAGGGAGAAAGUGGGGGAUCUUCGGACCUCACGCUACCAGAUGAGCCUAGGUCGGAUUAGCUAGUUGGUGGGGUAAAGGCCUACCAAGGCGACGAUCCGUAACUGGUCUGAGAGGAUGAUCAGUCACACUGGAACUGAGACACGGUCCAGACUCCUACGGGAGGCAGCAUUGGGGAAUAUUGGACAAUGGGCGAAAGCCUGAUCCAGCCAUGCCGCGUGUGUGAAGAAGGUCUUCGGAUUGUAAAGCACUUUAAGUUGGGAGGAAGGGCAGUAAGUUAAUACCUUGCUGUUUUGACGUUACCAACAGAAUAAGCACCGGCUAACUUCGUG